This 253-nucleotide ribosomal RNA is filed under the name uncultured bacterium. Its description in RNAcentral is "partial 16S ribosomal RNA". It matches the Rfam family "Bacterial small subunit ribosomal RNA", at positions 524 to 776 of the family's 1533-position model. The record is from RNAcentral.
UACGUAGGGUGCGAGCGUUGUCCGGAAUUAUUGGGCGUAAAGGGCUCGUAGGCGGUGUGGCAAGUCGGGAGUGAAAUCUCUGGGCUCAACCCAGGGGCUGCUUCCGAAACUGCCGUGCUAGAGUGUGGGAGAGGCGCGUGGAAUUGCAGGUGUAGCGGUGAAAUGCGUAGAUAUCUGCAGGAACACCCGUGGCGAAAGCGGCGCGCUGGACCACUACUGACGCUGAGGAACGAAAGCUAGGGGAGCAAACAGG